This 491-nucleotide ribosomal RNA is filed under the name uncultured bacterium. Its description in RNAcentral is "bacterial SSU rRNA". It matches the Rfam family "Bacterial small subunit ribosomal RNA", at positions 26 to 518 of the family's 1533-position model. The record is from RNAcentral.
AGGAUAAACGCUGGCGGCGCACAUAAGACAUGCAAGUCGAACGGACUUAAUCGAUUCUUUAGAUUCGAAGCGGUUAGUGGCGGACUGGUGAGUAACGCGUGAGCAACCUGCCUAUCAGAGGGGAAUAACAGUGAGAAAUCCAGUUUGCUAAAUACCGGCAUAUGCUCACAGCAUCACAUGAUGCAGUGAGGAAAGGAGCAAUCCGCUGAUAGAUGGGCUCGCGUCUGAUUAGCUAGUUGGUGGGGCAACGGCCUACCAAGGCGACGAUCAGUAGCCGGACUGAGAGGUUGAACGGCCACAUUGGGACUGAGAUACGGCCCAGACUCCUACGGGAGGCAGCAGGUCGGGAAUAUUGCGCAAAUGGAGGAAACUCUGACGCAGUGACGCCGCGUAUAGGAAGAAGGUUUUCGGAUUGUAAACUAUUGUCGUUAGGGAAGAAACAAGACGGUACCUAAGGAGGAAGCCCCGGCUAACUAUGUGCCAGCCGCCGC